GAUGAAGAACGCAGCGAAGUGCGAUAAGUAAUGUGAAUUGCAGAAUUCCGUGAAUCAUCGAAUCUUUGAACGCAAAUUGCACUCUCUGGCAACCCGGGGAGUAUGCCUGUUUGAGGGUCAGUGUUAAUAAAAAUCGGGUUCGUUGCAAUUUUUGUGACGUUUCCGGAGUUUGAGUUAUCUUAACUUCGGUUUUAAGAGGCUUAAAAUUGACCUUUUUUUGUGCAUUUUAGACGUACAUAAAUUUUUUUUUUAUUCGUCCAUCCUAAUGCCAAAAUCUAUUAGAUGCGACCAUAUCUUGUGGUUCCGUGUCUAUAAAUUUUUCAUGAUUUGACCUCAAAUCAGGUAGGAACACCCGCUGAACUUAAGCAUAUCAAUAAGCGGAGGA
Molecule: unclassified non-coding RNA, 385 nt
Filed under: soil metagenome
Description: partial contains 5.8S ribosomal RNA, internal transcribed spacer 2, and large subunit ribosomal RNA
Rfam family: 5.8S ribosomal RNA (bases 1-120)
Source: RNAcentral